CAUGCCUUGAGUGUAGGACCGUUGGUAUCUUAAUUACCCUCCCACACCCAAGGCUUGCA
RNAcentral lists this non-coding RNA (59 nucleotides) under Canis lupus familiaris (dog). RNAcentral describes it as "microRNA cfa-mir-532 precursor". Its record names the gene cfa-mir-532. It matches the Rfam family "mir-532 microRNA precursor family", at positions 10 to 67 of the family's 75-position model. Lineage: Eukaryota; Metazoa; Chordata; Mammalia; Carnivora; Canidae. RNAcentral also lists the same sequence under 1 other name. The record is from miRBase by way of RNAcentral.